Oncorhynchus keta (chum salmon) is the source of this 1972-nucleotide RNA transcript. RefSeq lists it as uncharacterized. The record is from RefSeq and is a predicted model, not a curated record. The transcript is spliced from 3 exons. Lineage: Eukaryota; Metazoa; Chordata; Actinopteri; Salmoniformes; Salmonidae.
ACGAGUCAUUUUCAACCAAAAGGACAUUCUGAGAUGUGGCUAAAGAUGGUCAGACAGUCAACUACAUUACAUUUAAACAAUACGUAUGUUUUCAGGUGUCUGUCUUAUAUCUGAGCACUAUAAGAAAGCUCAGGAUUUAGUUAUAAUAGUUUAACUGUGGAAUGACCCUUUGGCGUAGAAAUAGUUCCCUUCAGACAGUCAGGUCAGGGUUACCUUCAGACAGUCAGGUCUGAGUUACCUUCAGACAGUCAGGUCUGGGUUCCCUUCAGACAGUCAGUACUGAGUUCCCUUCAGACAGUCAGGUCUGGGUUCCCUUCAGACAGUCAGGUCUGGGUUCCCUUCAGACAGUCAGGUCUGGGUUCCCUUCAGACAGUCAGUACUGAGUUCCCUUCAGACAGUCAGGUCUGGGUUCCCUUCAGACAGUCAGGUCUGGGUUCCCUUCAGACAGUCAGUACUGAGUUCCCUUCAGACAGUCAGUACUGAGUUCCCUUCAGACAGUCAGGUCUGGGUUCCCUUCAGACAGUCAGUACUGAGUUCCCUUCAGACAGUCAGUACUGGGUUCCCUUCAGACAGUCAGGUCUGGGUUCCCUUCAGACAGUCAGUACUGGGUUACCUUCAGACAGUCAGUACUGAGUUCCCUUCAGACAGUCAGUACUGGGUUCCCUUCAGACAGUCAGGUCUGGGUUCCCUUCAGACAGUCAGGUCUGGGUUCCCUUCAGACAGUCAGUACUGAGUUACCUUCAGACAGUCAGGUCUGGGUUCCCUUCAGACAGUCAGUACUGGGUUCCCUUCAGACAGUCAGGUCUGGGUUCCCUUCAGACAGUCAGUACUGGGUUCCCUUCAGACAGUCAGGUCUGGGUUCCCUUCAGACAGUCAGGUCUGAGUUACCUUCAGACAGUCAGUACUGAGUUCCCUUCAGACAGUCAGGUCUGGUUCCCUUCAGACAGUCAGUACUGAGUUACCUUCAGACAGUCAGGUCUGGGUUCCCUUCAGACAGUCAGGUCUGGGUUACCUUCAGACAGUCAGGUCUGGGUUCCCUUCAGACAGUCAGGUCUGGGUUCCCUUCAGACAGUCAGGUCUGGGUUCCCUUCAGACAGUCAGGUCUGGGUUCCCUUCAGACAGUCAGGUCUGAGUUCCCUUCAGACAGUCAGGUCUGGGUUCCCUUCAGACAGUCAGGUCUGGGUUCCCUUCAGACAGUCAGGUCUGGGUUCCCUUCAGACAGUCAGGUCUGGGUUCCCUUCAGACAGUCAGUACUGAGUUACCUUCAGACAGUCAGUACUGAGUUCCCUUCAGACAGUCAGGUCUGGGUUCCCUUCAGACAGUCAGGUCUGGGUUCCCUUCAGACAGUCAGGUCUGGGUUCCCUUCAGACAGUCAGGUCUGGGUUACCUUCAGACAGUCAGGUCUGGGUUCCCUUCAGACAGUCAGUACUGGGUUCCCUUCAGACAGUCAGGUCUGGGUUCCCUUCAGACAGUCAGGUCUGGGUUCCCUUUCAUUCAGUCAGGUCUGGGUUCCCUUCAGACAGUCUUGUGGGCGUGGUAGAUCAAAACAAAACUUUUUAGACUCUGGAGACAUUUUCCUGAGAAGACAGAUUUUCGGGAUGUCACAUAAUUUUCUGACAAACCCACCUGCUACGCAAAAGUCAAUUAUGGUCAAUUCUGACAUAAACUGCAUCCCAUCUACAAAACCCAAAAUCAGCGCCAAAAUCCGCGGAUGAGGUAUAUUGAGACGCAACCCAGAUAUCGUUAGUUUAAUUAAGAGUUUAUUUCAAAAUAGUUCUACUAAACUAACAUAUGGAAUUGUUUUAAGAUGGUCAUACCAAGAAAGAUUUAGCUUUUUGAUUUAGUCGACAACAAAAAAUGCAUCAAAAUGAAGUUUGUUUUAAAGUGUCUGUCCUAUAUCUGAGAGGUAUAAGAAAGAUCGGGAUUGUAUUUUAAUAUUUGUACCAAAAUUUAACAACAAAAAAAAUGUCAC